GGGCUCCUGGUGCUUACCACAGGCUCUGUUCUUAGACUGACUGCAUAGAAACAGGAGGCAGAGUAGACCUUCCCCAUACACACCUCAGCUCAGGCCUCCUGACAGAUCUGUACCGUGAAUGUGGGAACAUGG
This is a small nucleolar RNA of Oryctolagus cuniculus (rabbit), 132 nucleotides long. Lineage: Eukaryota; Metazoa; Chordata; Mammalia; Lagomorpha; Leporidae. The record is from Ensembl.